GACGAACGCUGGCGGCGUGCUUAACACAUGCAAGUCGAACGGAAAGGCCCUGCUUUUGUGGGGUGCUCGAGUGGCGAACGGGUGAGUAACACGUGUGUAACCUGCCCUUGACUUUGGGAUAACUUCAGGAAACUGGGGCUAAUACCGGAUAGGAGCUCCUGCUGCAUGGUGGGGGUUGGAAAGUUUCGGCGGUUGGGGAUGGACUCGCGGCUUAUCAGCUUGUUGGUGGGGUAGUGGCUUACCAAGGCUUUGGCGGGUAGCCGGCCUGAGAGGGUGACCGGCCACAUUGGGACUGAGAUACGGCCCAGACUCCUACGGGAGGCAGCAGUGGGGAAUAUUGCACAAUGGGCGGAAGCCUGAUGCAGCAACGCCGCGUGCGGGAUGACGGCCUUCGGGUUGUAAACCGCUUUCGCCUGUGACGAAGCGUGAGUGACGGUAAUGGGUAAAGAAGCACCGGCUAACUACGUG
RNAcentral lists this ribosomal RNA (468 nucleotides) under uncultured bacterium. RNAcentral's name for it is "partial 16S ribosomal RNA". It matches the Rfam family "Bacterial small subunit ribosomal RNA", at positions 28 to 507 of the family's 1533-position model. The record is from RNAcentral.